Molecule: long non-coding RNA, 1491 nt
Filed under: Vulpes vulpes (red fox)
Lineage: Eukaryota; Metazoa; Chordata; Mammalia; Carnivora; Canidae
Description: lncRNA (ENSVVUG00000004554.1)
Source: RNAcentral
GCCGCGUCGAGCUCCUGCGGGGGCUGCAGGCGUCUGACCUCCCAGCACCUGCGGCUGCCGCCCGGCCGGCGCCCCCCCUCGGGUGCCCCUUGCAGUCCUGCUACUAAAGAGCUGCGGAGCCCGCGCCGCCGAACUAGGGGGUCAGGGAAAGCUUCCGGAGAGGCCCAGGGCGACCGUGGUGACCCUGCUUCCUCGCCGCCACCGCCACUGCCGGACCCGCGGCAGGGGCCCCCGCCGACAGCCACGCACGGAACCGCGAUUCCCGCCAGGAGAGCGAGGCGGACCCGCCGCGCCGUGGCCGCUGCGUCCCGCGCACCUCGUGGACACCGACGCCCUCCGCUCGGCGUGAACUUGGGUGCCGAACCGGCUUCGCGCGCGCACCCUGCACCGCUUUUUGACGUUCUGCAUCAAGUGGUAUUCAGAGCGCUGGGUGGAAAGCGCCGCGCGUCUCCCGGAAACGCCCGAGGGCAGCGGGUGGGAGCAGAGGGACUGUGCUCGGCCCUGCCCGCCGGCCGCCUUAGGGACCCGCGUGCCCGGACACCGGCGCCGGCCUUCGCGCUCCUCUGCGGGCACACGGGCGGGCGAGGCCUGAGCCCCCGCACGCCGGCCGCUCGCCCGCCUCGCCCGGGAAGAGCCUGCUCCCCGCGCCCCGCCGCGGAAACGCGAGGCGCCCCCCUCGGCCCCUACUGCGGCCGCGUCCCUCCGCCCUGCAGCCCGGAGCCACCCGCAAACUUCGCAGCAGUUCGCAGCCGGCCGCCGCGGCCCCGGAGGUGGGCGGGGCGUGCAGGGCCGGGGCNNNNNNNNNNNNNNNNNNNNNNNNNNNNNNNNNNNGGGGCGCCCCAGGAGGGCGUCGCGCUCCCGCCCCCACCCAGGCUUCCGUGCGCGGAGCUCGCGGCCGGGGGGUGCGGGCGGCUCCGGGCCCCCGAGCCGGGCUGGGGCGCCUUUCCCGGGAUCCCGCACAGCCGCCCGCCCCCUCUGCAGCGCGGCUUUGUUCCGAGAGGGCAGGCGGGGCGGGGGUGGAGAAGAGCGUCCUGGAAGCGCGGCUGGUUCUGGGGAGGAGCUGCACCGACGCCGCGGGAGCGAGCUCCGGCCUGGAGUGUCCCCGUGCCCCCCAGGGUUGCCUCAGAGCAGUUAAAAAGAUUUCCUCGUCCUUUUAGUUCUGUUUUGGAGGUUAACGUCGCAGGGGAAACCCGAUCUCCUAAGUGCUGCGAGGUCCGCGCUGCUCCCACUUCGGAGAGUGCUUGGUGUUUCCCCUCCGCUCGGAAAGCUGCCGGGGUUCCGCGGCCCCCAGCCGACCCGGCUCCCUGCCGUCCCUGCUGCCGGGCGGGGUCCGGGAGCCCGAGCCCGAGCCCCAGCCCCUGCGCGCGCCCCGGGCCUCCAGGGGGAGCGGCCGCGGGCCCGGCCCGGUGGGCAGCGCAGCGAGGACGCGCUUUUCCACUUCCCCUGCGAAGCGCGAGGCAGAGGUCGGUGCUCAGCGGGCCCCUCGGAUGA